UACGGGGGGAGCAAGCGUUGUUCGGAUUUACUGGGCGUAAAGGGCGCGUAGGCGGUCAGCACAAGUCAGUUGUGAAAUCUCCGGGCUUAACUCGGAAAGGUCAACUGAUACUGUGCGACUAGAGUGCAGAAGGGGCAACUGGAAUUCUCGGUGUAGCGGUGAAAUGCGUAGAUAUCGAGAGGAAUACCAGAGGCGAAGGCGGCUACCUGGACAAUUGCUGACGCUCAGGCACGAAAGCGUGGGGAGCAAAAGGG
This 254-nucleotide ribosomal RNA is filed under the name uncultured bacterium. Its description in RNAcentral is "partial 16S ribosomal RNA". It matches the Rfam family "Bacterial small subunit ribosomal RNA", at positions 524 to 776 of the family's 1533-position model. The record is from RNAcentral.